Molecule: non-coding RNA, 109 nt
Organism: Acanthosepion pharaonis
Lineage: Eukaryota; Metazoa; Mollusca; Cephalopoda; Sepiida; Sepiidae
Source: the annotation of a GenBank genome assembly
AUCAUAUCACGUUGAAACAUCGGCUCUCAUACGAUCACUGAAGUUAAGCAACGUCGAACCUUGUCAGUACCUGGAUGGGUGACCGCUUGAGAAUAUCAGGUACUGUAAG